Molecule: ribosomal RNA, 273 nt
Filed under: uncultured bacterium
Lineage: Bacteria
Description: partial 16S ribosomal RNA
Rfam family: Bacterial small subunit ribosomal RNA
Source: RNAcentral
AUACGGAGGGGACUAGCGUUGUUCGGAAUUACUGGGCGUAAAGAGUUCGUAGGCGGACUGAUAAGUAAGAGGUGAAAUCCCAGGGCUCAACCCUGGAACUGCCUUUUAAACUGUCAGUCUAGAGACCGGAAGAGGUUAGGGGAAUACCUAGUGUAGAGGUGAAAUUCGUAGAUAUUAGGUGGAACACCAGUGGCGAAGGCGCCUAACUGGUCCGGUACUGACGCUGAGGAACGAAAGCGUGGGAGCAAACAGGAUUAGAAACCCUAGUAGUCC